ACGAACGCUGGCGGCGUGCUUAACACAUGCAAGUCGAACGGAAAGGCCCUGCUUUUGUGGGGUGCUCGAGUGGCGAACGGGUGAGUAACACGUGAGUAACCUGCCCUUGACUUUGGGAUAACUUCAGGAAACUGGGGCUAAUACCGGAUAGGAGCUCCUGCUGCAUGGUGGGGGUUGGAAAGUUUCGGCGGUUGGGGAUGGACUCGCGGCUUAUCAGCUUGUUGGUGGGGUAGUGGCUUACCAAGGCUUUGACGGGUAGCCGGCCUGAGAGGGUGACCGGCCACAUUGGGACUGAGAUACGGCCCAGACUCCCACGGGAGGCAGCAGUGGGGAAUAUUGCACAAUGGGCGGAAGCCUGAUGCAGCAACGCCGCGUGCGGGAUGACGGCCUUCGGGUUGUAAACCGCUUUCGCCUGUGACGAAGCGUGAGUGACGGUAAUGGGUAAAGAAGCACCGGCUAACUACGUG
RNAcentral lists this ribosomal RNA (467 nucleotides) under uncultured bacterium. RNAcentral's name for it is "partial 16S ribosomal RNA". It matches the Rfam family "Bacterial small subunit ribosomal RNA", at positions 29 to 507 of the family's 1533-position model. The record is from RNAcentral.